CAAAUUAGAUUUUUUGUAUAUGUUCUAUAAAAUUUCAGAUUGUUUUUCAAAAACUACACAGAAAUAAAAAUAACCUCACCUCUAGAGCACACCGUUGAGAGUGAAAGAAGGUAUUUUAGAAUACCUUAUUUGUUGAGGAAUUAUUAUUAUUAUUAUUAUUAUUGCUGCAUAUCAUUUCUAAUGAUGGAUGCCGAUGAUCGAACCCUGGUUGCUGGGGUUUAGAGUCGAACACCAUACCACAAGAACUAGGGAACAUCGGC
Molecule: long non-coding RNA, 260 nt
Filed under: Populus tremula
Lineage: Eukaryota; Viridiplantae; Streptophyta; Magnoliopsida; Malpighiales; Salicaceae
Description: long non-coding RNA (PTRE_LNC000631)
Source: RNAcentral